GGGUCAUGUCCUUGACAACAUAUGUCAAGAUCAAGGUCAUUGGCGAGAUGUCCGUUAAUAGAUUUUCGAAAAUUGCAAUGAAACAGAUAAAAUGCAAAAUGGUGAAAGAAUAACAGAUCGACAUUUAAUUUUCGCACGAGAUAAAGAACUAACAGCAAAUUUGUAGGACAGUAGAUAAAAGUUUAAUUCAAUGAUUAAUAGUACUUUAAUUUUAUGCGCUCUUUUUAUUUCAACCUCUGAUAAAAAAUAAUCAUAAACACAAUGACGAUUCAUUCUAAUAUAAUAUAAAUGUAGCAAAGAACAGGCGCAGUCGCAGUCGCAUUCAUCUCGCUUUUGCGUGUUCCGCUUUUUUUUCGAUAACAUAUAAUCCCGAUAAUCCGAAAGAUUCUCGAGUUGUUCGUUUUCUUUUACUGUUUAUCGAAUCACUCAUCGAUACGAUGAGAUUGAUCGGGAUCAUGUAUUUGCUGUCGUUUUGCGGUCGUCUUGAUGCGGCGCCGGCGAAUGUGACCCCCGAAUCAAGUACGUUCAUGAGGAAAAUAAUAUGGAUUAGCCAGAAUGAGUCGCACAACGCCGAAUCCAAUCCUGAUGUCAAUCUCAACACGGUAAAUAUACGUUUUCACUCAUAGGAUUAACAAGG
Formica exsecta is the source of this 637-nucleotide long non-coding RNA. RefSeq lists it as uncharacterized. The record is from RefSeq and is a predicted model, not a curated record. Lineage: Eukaryota; Metazoa; Arthropoda; Insecta; Hymenoptera; Formicidae. The transcript has 3 exons.